CCUUCUUUUUAAAACUUAUUUUUUUCCCUGAGAUUUUGCCUGUCAAGCUGGGUGAUUUUGUGUUUUAGAUCCUUUUCUGAAUUCUGUGGUUCAGUUGAGAUUCAAAUCAAAAUAGGUAAAAGGUAACUAGGCCAAGGCCAAAGGUAGUUGAUGUUUUGAUUGAUUUGUCUUGUAGUUGUGGUAAUUAUCCUACCAAGUAUGCUCUACCCCAACGGCCAGUUGACGAAGCAUGGCAAUUUCGACGAGAUGUUGUCAUUGUGGCUCGUGGGGCUGUUCAGCUGGUGUGGGUUUGGUGCGUUGCGGAUUUGGCUUCGUGCAGCGCAGAUUUAGUGUAGCGUGGUGCGAGUUUGGCCUGGGUGGUGUUUCACUGGUGAUAGUGAUAGCAGCACGCUGCUAUUUCAUGUGUCAAAUUAGGUUUCCAUGGAGACAUCAACAAGCCCCACUCACAUUGCUCCAACACAACCACAAGUGUGACGUCAGCAGAAUAGCAGCGUGCUGCUAUCACCGGUGAAACACCACCCUGGUGACGAACUUGACGGGGUGUCAAUAAAGCUGGAGUCACCUUCAGCGCUAGCCAGUAAAUGUGUAGAUAAAAGGAAGCUGAAAUUUAAAAACAAUCUAACCUUACCUAACCUUACCUAUUGGCUAUUAACAUACUAACCUAUACCCUACACCCUACCAACUGACGGUGAUGCCAGCUUUACCAUAAACCGUAGGUUGUAGUUUAGUAGGUAAGGUUAGGUCAGGUUAGAUAAUGUUUUGUUCUGUUAGACUAGGUGGGUAUUUGAUUAGAUUUAAAAGCGAAUUUUGUGUAAAUGUCUCAAGAACUGGAGAGUCUAGCGACUUCACAAAUGGGUGGCAGCAUGUGAGAUGCCUGCUAUAUGAAUACCAGAAAUCCUUCUCUAUGCCUCAACCCCCUGUUCUGGGCUGGGCGGACACUUUCAUCCCAUGUGGGAAGCUCCCCUAGGAGCAUACACGGAGCCAGGUGCAGUGUCAGGGACAGGGUGCCCUGUUCACUGGAUGGGCUCAGCCCCAAUGACUUGUACCAGGGUGUUUGCCCAUACCAAUAGCUCCCCCUAAUUCCUAUCAUUCCUCCAACUCUGUAGUCUUUUUGGGCCAAAACUUGAAAGGCAACCCAACAAAACUUUAAAUUGAUUUUUAACUUGUGGCAUAGUACUUACUAUUUUGCCAGUCUGACAACAUCCCAUUACUGCCUUGACUGGCUUUCUUCUCUCUCAGGCUGAUCCUGUGUCACAGAGCCACAUAGAUGAGCAGCUACCCAUCGUAGGAUGCACACUCAACCUCCUGCUAGUUUCUGAGCCAAGUCAGCUUGACAGAGGGGUCUGCUAAUGCACAGCCACCUAGCCACUGCUAACAGAUGCUGGCUGGGACAGACGCUCAUCAAAGGUGUGCCACACGACAUGGGCAUUCUCGUUCUGCAUCAAGCCUCAAGGUGCCUCAGCCAAACGGCAGUGAGAAAUAAGGGUUGGAAUAAAAGAAGAGGACUGAGGAGAAAAUCCAUUUACCACAAUUUUAUCACUGUGGACCAUCGCGAAUGCGUAGUGUAAUAUACCUAUUAACUUAGUAGCCCAGCACGCUCAAGAGAUCUUGGAAACUGGACCACCCCAGAUCAGUAGAUGCAGACAUGCACGUGCAGACGAAACACCAGCGCCAUGCAUGGGGUCCAAUCUCACCAUGGAAAUGCCAAAGCACACAGCUCAAGCCAUGCUGCCAUCCACAUGACGUGCGGCCAGGUAUCCAUUAUCAGGCUAGAUAUGUGAUAUCUGAGUUUUUUUAUAACAUAGCCAUUUGCAAUCUUUUGUGGCGAUGGAACUUUCUUAGCAUAAAAGACCGCCGUUGUGUACCGUGCCUGUGGCCAGCUUAGUCGUUUCCAUUGUAUGCUUUGUGGUUUUUUAGUUCUGAGCAUGUUAUCUUCCAACAGGCUCGUUGCUGUCGGCGGUUCUGAAGACAGCGGUUCGAUCCAGCUGAAGGACGUCACCCAGCGUCCCAAAAUUUGUUGAUUUGGAUGCGAAAUGACAUCCAGCUGAAAGUCAUUUUCCACUCUCACCUCCAACUUUUCAGAACAAUUUUCUACUCUCAACUUUACCGAGAAAAGCAUUGUGAGGAUGGCCAUUUUGCAUCGCACAUUUUACCACACUCGUAUAUAGAAAUUUAUGUUACCUACCUAUCCUUUUAUCACUCUUUUUGGGCCUUAUCUGACCAGCAAUUUUCCACUCACAUCCCCCUUUUUGCUGAUAAAUUUUCCCCUCCGGCACCCAAGCCAGAAUGCAAUUUUGGGACACUGACGUCACCUGGCAGGAAGUUGUAGAGUGUGGUGGCCAGUAUCAAGCCACAUUGUCCAGAAACCAUCACAUUAUCUCCAGGUCACUAGUCGCCGGUGCUCGAGCUGACGGCGUCGUUCAAGGGCUCCACGGUGACAAGCGCCGUCACCGCUGCCGCCGCCGCCGAGACCAUCCGACUCCUGGGCCCUGUUUCACGGCAGCGUACUGCAGCGCGCUACGCAGCGCUGCUGUGUUAGUGCGGCGAUUGAGACGAAUUCGGCUCGACGCUCCAGCGUUGCGAAACACCCGUGUCUAUGAAGGAUACGCCGAUACGUCUUCCAGCUUCAAGCCCUUCCCGCCCCCCCCCCCCCCGCCCCGUCCCAACGGUGUUGGCCGAGAUUGGGGUUGGUAUUUUAACGGGCUCUCCGAUGACGUCCCGCAAUUUGUGUUAUGUAAUUUGACAAUUAUGUCGUAGUCUCAUUCUGUCUCGAUAUGCUAAUAAAUGAUAAAUGGGACGGAGGUUGGAAGUAAGGUGUGAGUGGCUGUAACCGGCAGGUUUUGGCGAGCGCGAUAUUAGUUAUUGUGAGCGCGCCAGCUGCAUUAAAUCGCGCGCUUCUGGCGAGAAAAGACUUGCUCUGGAACCUAGAAGUUUGUCGUGAAAUCUAUGUGCCUUUGGAUUGAAUUAUUAGAACAUAAUGUACUUUCGGUGUCCAGCACUGCAGCUCUGGAAAUAGAAAUAUGGAUGUUGGCUGUUUGAUGUAGCAAGGGCUAACAAUCUGCGUCAAGAAUCAAAAGCUGUAUGCAAAUUAAAGUGAAUAUAUUUCAAUGAAUUUUUAAAUUUUGUGAUACAAAACAUAAAUGUGUCAACUACUGAUUACACCCGGCUGCAAACACUGUAACGCUUGCAAUGCUGUACGGCAAAUAAAUAAUAUAGAUUCUC
Molecule: long non-coding RNA, 3222 nt
Organism: Amphibalanus amphitrite
Lineage: Eukaryota; Metazoa; Arthropoda; Thecostraca; Balanomorpha; Balanidae
Exons: 2
Source: RefSeq, a predicted model, not a curated record